AGCCAUUUCACAUCUGUUACAUUAACAGAAUAUUAGUUGAAAUAAAAGUUACACUACCCAAAAUAUACUGAAUUGGUGGCAGAACCCACAGUCAUCAGCCCUAGGCUAAAUACCAACAAGGUAUCCACUCAGCCCUACUAACCUAGGCUCAAUACCAACAAGGUAUCCACUCAGCCCUACUAACCUAGGCUCAAUACCAACAAGGUAUCCACUCAGCCCUACUAACCUAGGCUCAAUACCAACAAGGUAUCCACCCAGAACUACUAACCUAGGCUCAAUGCCAACAAGAUAUCCACUCAGCCCUACUAACCUAGGCUCAAUACCAACAAGAUAUCCACUCAGCCCUACUAACCUAGGCUCAAUACCAACAAGGUAUCCACUCAGCCCUACUAACCUAGGCUCAAUGCCAACAAGGUAUCCACUCAGCCCUACUAACCUAGGCUCAAUACCAACAAGGUAUCCACGCAGCCCUACUAACCUAGGCUCAAUACCAACAAGGUAUCCACUCAGCCCUACUAACCUAGGCUCAAUGUCAACAAGGUAUCCACUCAGCCCUACUAACCUAGGCUCAAUGCCAACAAGGUAUCCACUCAGCCCUACUAACCUAGGCUCAAUACCAACAAGGUAUCCACUCAGCCCUACUAAC
Oncorhynchus keta (chum salmon) is the source of this 646-nucleotide long non-coding RNA. RefSeq lists it as uncharacterized. The transcript is spliced from 6 exons. The record is from RefSeq and is a predicted model, not a curated record. NCBI's taxonomy places the organism in Eukaryota, Metazoa, Chordata, Actinopteri, Salmoniformes, Salmonidae.